GUGCCUAUAGUGUAGUGGUUAUCACAUCUGUUUUACACACAGAAGGUCCCAGGUUCGAAACCUGGUAGGCACA
RNAcentral lists this transfer RNA (73 nucleotides) under Sarcoptes scabiei. It matches the Rfam family "tRNA". From Rfam's summary of the family: Transfer RNA (tRNA) molecules are approximately 80 nucleotides in length. Lineage: Eukaryota; Metazoa; Arthropoda; Arachnida; Sarcoptiformes; Sarcoptidae. The record is from Rfam by way of RNAcentral.